AUGAAGUUACCAUUUGGUAUCGUACGGAGAUUUCUCAUCAGUCCAAUUAGUAGCCCUAACUAGCGUCCUGCGCUGACGAUUACCAUAUCCAGACCACAACGGUUCCGUUCUAUGACCAUCUGAUGAAUCAGUUCCUCGAUAGAAAGCUGCAGAAGAAGAUAAUCGAGGUUUUAAGGAAUUAGGGUUUCGUAUCGAAUUCGAAGCACUGACAAUGGAUCGAGGUCGAGACCUAGCUCGAUUGUAACAGCAUGUUAUGGAUGAGUAUACAGCAUGAUGAGGUCUGCAAACUGUCCUCAAAUUACUCAUUUUCUUCGACCUUCGUUUCGAAUUGAAUUUAGGAUUUUUGAUUUAGGGUUUGUG
This 360-nucleotide long non-coding RNA is filed under the name Helianthus annuus (common sunflower). Its description in RNAcentral is "sRNA HanXRQr2_Chr05g0236781". Lineage: Eukaryota; Viridiplantae; Streptophyta; Magnoliopsida; Asterales; Asteraceae. The record is from RNAcentral.